AUGCCACCUUCCGUGCACGACACGGAAGGCCUGCCGUUCAUGAAGCAUGGUUGUGUCUUCAGUGCACACCGCCGGAUGAACGACAUGCUGGGACACACUAUCCCUGAUUUAUGCCGCUUUAGCUUGGAUGAGUCUCCAUCGUGUGGAACCGGACUAGAAAGUUGCGACAAUGAUUCCCGUUGCCCGCCGCUAUGGAUCGUGCCAUCCAUGAAGAACACCUGGGACUGGAACCUGGAGGAGGACAUCAGACGCAAAUGCGCCGGCCUUCAUGAUUCCAGGACCUGGAAUCAUACCAGCCGAUGGUACCAUAUAACUGGAAUUAACCCAUGCAAGUCGAAGAAGGAUUGGCCGGUGCUGCCGGCUGGCGUCAAGUUCGAUCCCACGGAUCAGGAGCUGAUCGAUCACCUUGAGGCCAAAGUGAGUGCUGAUAGCGCGAGAUCUCACCCUCUCAUCGAUUUGUUCAUACCAACCAUCGACAGCGAGCACGACAUAUGCUACACCCAUCCUGAGAAACUUCCAGGUAUCACACUGAGUGGCCUAAGCAAGCAUUUCUUCCAGCGCAAUUCCAGGGCAUUCAGAAGGGGCACGUGGACGCGUCGCAAGAUACAGUCGGAGUGCGGCAUGUACGCGAUGUGGCACAACACCGACAAUACCUUGCCGGUGAUGGUCAACGGCCGGCAGACGGGCAGCAAAAAGGUUCUGGUGCUGCACACCAACAAGAACUUCGACCAGCAGAGGACCAACUGGGUGAUGCACCAGUACCACCUCAGGGACCUGGAGCAAGAGAAGGAGCAGGAGCUAGUCCUCUGCAAGAUUUUCUACCAGACGAACACUAGGGCCAGGAGUAAAAAGAUUAUAAGUUAG
RNAcentral lists this ribosomal RNA (864 nucleotides) under Triticum aestivum (bread wheat). Its description in RNAcentral is "partial small subunit ribosomal RNA". The record is from RNAcentral. Lineage: Eukaryota; Viridiplantae; Streptophyta; Magnoliopsida; Poales; Poaceae.